UAGGGGAUCUUCCACAAUGGACGCAAGUCUGAUGGAGCAACGCCGCGUGAGUGAAGAAGGUUUUCGGAUCGUAAAGCUCUGUUGUUGGUGAAGAAGGAUAGAGGCAGUAACUGGUCUUUAUUUGACGGUAAUCAACCAGAAAGUCACGGCUAACUACGUGCCAGCAGCCGCGGUAAUACGUAGGUGGCAAGCGUUGUCCGGAUUUAUUGGGCGUAAAGCGAGCGCAGGCGGAAUGAUAAGUCUGAUGUGAAAGCCCACGGCUCAACCGUGGAACUGCAUCGGAAACUGUCAUUCUUGAGUGCAGAAGAGGAGAGUGGAAUUCCAUGUGUAGCGGUGGAAUGCGUAGAUAUAUGGAAGAACACCAGUGGCGAAGGCGGCUCUCUGGUCUGCAACUGACGCUGAGGCUCGAAAGCAUGGGUAGCGAACAGG
This 429-nucleotide ribosomal RNA is filed under the name bacterium. RNAcentral's name for it is "partial 16S ribosomal RNA". It matches the Rfam family "Bacterial small subunit ribosomal RNA", at positions 355 to 776 of the family's 1533-position model. The record is from RNAcentral.